Molecule: ribosomal RNA, 253 nt
Filed under: uncultured bacterium
Lineage: Bacteria
Description: partial 16S ribosomal RNA
Rfam family: Bacterial small subunit ribosomal RNA
Source: RNAcentral
GACAGAGGGUGCAAACGUUGUUCGGAGUUAUUGGGCGUAAAGCGCGCGCAGGCGGCUUCGCGCGCCCGCCGUGAAAGCCCCCGGCUUAACCGGGGAGAGUCGGUGGGGACGGCGGAGCUUGAGGGCGGGAGAGGUCGGUGGAAUUCCCGGUGUAGUGGUGAAAUGCGUAGAGAUCGGGAGGAACACCUGUGGCGAAGGCGGCCGACUGGGCCGACCCUGACGCUGAGGCGCGAAGGCGUGGGGAGCGAACGGG